CUACGCUCCCCGGUCCACGUCGGGGCCCCGACCGGAAGCGCGGCCCUGGAAAGGCAAGGGGCGCGAGAGGGGCCGGGCCUACGUCUCUGCGCCGCAGGGACCCCGGAAUGGACCUGACGUUGGGCUGAGCACUGACCUCAGAGUACGUGGGGAGUUUCUUGCCUUUUGGGAGGUCUGAGGUCUUCUGCCAGCAUUCAUGUGGCAAAUUGUUUUCAAAGAUGGCGCCAACAAUUCCAUCCUCCCUGUGACCUCAUGCCACUCCUCCCAGCAAGUGGUGGAAGAUAUCUCUCCUCCCCUUGAACCGAGCCUGUCUCUGUGACUUGAUUUGACCAAAAGAAUGUGGAGGAAGGGAUGCUCUGCCAGUUCCAGGCCCAGGCCUUGCAAGACCUGAUAGUGUCUGCUUUUGGCCUCUUGGGAUUUGGCCACCAUGGAUAUGCUCAGGCCAGAGAGCUGAACGACAAGAGCCUGCCUGGGGAGGGAGAGGCCCGGUCAGCUCCCUGCUCUUCCAGCCCCAGCCAAGGAGCCAGACAUGUGAGUGAAGCCAUCCUGGAUGUUCCAGCUCCAGCCAAGCUCUCAGCUAAAUGCAGCCACGUGAGUGACCUCAGCCAACUCAAUACAGAUCGGAAGAACUAACUGCCCGGCCGAGGCCAGCCAACCCACAGAAUCAUGAAAAAUAAUAAAUUUUUAUUGUUUUAAGCCA
Long non-coding RNA from Eubalaena glacialis (North Atlantic right whale), 700 nucleotides. RefSeq lists it as uncharacterized. Lineage: Eukaryota; Metazoa; Chordata; Mammalia; Artiodactyla; Balaenidae. The record is from RefSeq and is a predicted model, not a curated record. The transcript is spliced from 3 exons.